GAUGAACGCUGGCGGCGUGCCUAAUACAUGCAAGUAGAACGCUGAAGGAAGGAGCUUGCUCUUUCCGGAUGAGUUGCGAACGGGUGAGUAACGCGUAGGUAACCUGCCUGGUAGCGGGGGAUAACUAUUGGAAACGAUAGCUAAUACCGCAUAACAGUAGAUGUUGCAUGAUAUCUACUUAAAAGGUGCAAUUGCACCACUACCAGAUGGACCUGCGUUGUAUUAGCUAGUUGGUGAGGUAACGGCUCACCAAGGCGACGAUACAUAGCCGACCUGAGAGGGUGAUAGGCCACACUGGGACUGAGACACGGCCCAGACUCCUACGGGAGGCAGCAGUAGGGAAUCUUCGGCAAUGGACGGAAGUCUGACCGAGCAACGCCGCGUGAGUGAAGAAGGUUUUCGGAUCGUAAAGCUCUGUUGUAAGAGAAGAACGAGUGUGAGAGUGGAAAGUUCACACUGUGACGGUAUCUUACCAGAAAGGGACGGCUAACUACGUG
RNAcentral lists this ribosomal RNA (497 nucleotides) under uncultured bacterium. RNAcentral describes it as "partial 16S ribosomal RNA". It matches the Rfam family "Bacterial small subunit ribosomal RNA", at positions 28 to 507 of the family's 1533-position model. The record is from RNAcentral.